AGAACGAACGCUGGCGGCAGGCCUAACACAUGCAAGUCGAACGCCGUAGCAAUACGGAGUGGCAGACGGGUGAGUAACGCGUGGGAACCUUCCCUAUGGUUCGGAAUAGCUCAGGGAAACCUGGGGUAAUACCGGAUAAGCCCUUCGGGGGAAAGAUUUAUCGCCAUUGGAUGGGCCCGCGUAGGAUUAGCUAGUUGGUGAGGUAACGGCUCACCAAGGCGACGAUCCUUAGCUGGUCUGAGAGGAUGAUCAGCCACAUUGGGACUGAGACACGGCCCAAACUCCUACGGGAGGCAGCAGUGGGGAAUAUUGCGCAAUGGGCGAAAGCCUGACGCAGCGACGCCGCGUGAGGGACGAAGGCCUUCGGGUUGUAAACCUCUUUCAGCAGGGACGAAGCGAAAGUGACGGUACCUGCAGAAGAAGCACCGGCCAACUACGUGCCAGCAGCCGC
This 451-nucleotide ribosomal RNA is filed under the name uncultured bacterium. RNAcentral's name for it is "SSU rRNA". It matches the Rfam family "Bacterial small subunit ribosomal RNA", at positions 26 to 518 of the family's 1533-position model. The record is from RNAcentral.